CACAGAUCUGUGGGGACACGUGCAGAGAGCGGAAGCCGGGAAUGGGAUCCCGGUGCAAGCGAGGUACCAGCCGCAUUGGAAAAACCGUGCGGCAAUGGGAAGACGUGAUGCGGAGUGAAGUUUAGUAAUGAAGUCCGUGAGCUGUGCGUCAAGAAAAGCCGCUAUUGUUCAUACCAUACCCGUACCGUAAACCGACACAGGUGGAUGAGGAGAGAAUCCUAAGGCCGGCGGAAGAAGCAUUGUCAAGGAACUCGGCAAAGUGACCCCGUAACUUCGGGAGAAGGGGUGCCUGCGAGAGCAGGCCGCAGAGAAUAGGCUCAAGCAACUGUUUAGCAAAAACACAGGUCUAUGCGAAACCGAAUGGUGAGGUAUAUGGGCUGACGCCUGCCCGGUGCUGGAAGGUUAAGAGGAGAGGUUAGCGGUAACGCGAAGCUUUGAAUUUAAGCCCCAGUAAACGGCGGCCGUAACGAUAACGGUCCUAAGGUAGCGAAAUUCCUUGUCGGGUAAGUUCCGACCCGCACGAAAGGCGUAAUGAUUUGAGCGCUGUCUCGACAAUGCAUCCGGUGAAAUUGAAGUACCAGUGAAGAUGCUGGUUACCUGCGCCAGGACGGAAAGACCCCAUGGAGCUUUACUCCAGUUUGGUACUGGGAUCCGGUACUGCAUGUACAGGAUAGGUGGGAGGCUAUGAAUCGGUAACGCCAGUUGCCGAGGAGCCGCUGUUGGGAUACCACCCUUGCAGUAUUGGGUUUCUAACCAGCCGCCGUGACCCGGCGGUGGGACAAUGCCAGACGGGGAGUUUGACUGGGGCGGUCGCCUCCGAAAGGGUAUCGGAGGCGCCCAAAGGUUCCCUCAGGAUGGACGGAAACCAUCCAAAGAGUGCAAAGGCAGAAGGGAGCUUGACUGCGACACCGACGGGUGGAGCAGGUACGAAAGUAGGGCUUAGUGAUCCGGUGGUAUUAAGUGGGAAUGCCAUCGCUCAACGGAUGAAAGCUACCCUGGGAUAACAGGCUUAUCACUCCCAAGAGUUCACAUCGACGGAGUGGUUUGGCACCUCGAUGUCGGCUCAUCGCAUCCUGGGGCUGUAGUAGGUCCCAAGGGUUGGGCUGUUCGCCCAUUAAAGCGGUACGCGAGCUGGGUUCAGAACGUCGCGAGACAGUUCGGUCCCUAUCCGGCGUGGGCGUAGGAUAUCUGAGAGGAGCUGUCCUUAGUACGAGAGGACCGGGAUGGACGGGCCGCUGGUGCACCGGUUAGACUGCCAAGUCUAUAGCCGGGUAGCCAAGCCCGGAAGGGAUAAACGCUGAAGGCAUCUAAGCGUGUAGCCCCCCUCAAGAUGAGAUAUCCCAUCCGAAAGGAGUAAACCCCCUUGAAGACGACGAGGUUGAUAGGGCAGAGGUGGAAGUGUGGUAACACAUGGAGCUGACUGCUACUAAUAGGGUGAGGGCUUGACC
This 1448-nucleotide ribosomal RNA is filed under the name metagenome. RNAcentral describes it as "bacterial LSU rRNA". It matches the Rfam family "Bacterial large subunit ribosomal RNA", at positions 1457 to 2925 of the family's 2925-position model. The record is from RNAcentral.